RNAcentral lists this ribosomal RNA (397 nucleotides) under uncultured bacterium. Its description in RNAcentral is "bacterial SSU rRNA". It matches the Rfam family "Bacterial small subunit ribosomal RNA", at positions 29 to 424 of the family's 1533-position model. The record is from RNAcentral.
AUUGAACGCUGGCGGCGUGCUUAACACAUGCAAGUCGAUCGGUAACAGGUGUAGCAAUACAUGCUGACGAGAGGCGGACGGGUGAGUAAUGCUUGGGAAUCUGCCUAUUAGUGGGGGACAACCCGGGGAAACUCGGGCUAAUACCGCAUACGCUCUACGGAGGAAAGCCGGGGACCGCAAGGCCUGGCGCUAAUAGAUGAGCCCAAGUCGGAUUAGCUAGUUGGUAGGGUAACGGCCUACCAAGGCGACAAUCCGUAGCUGGUCUGAGAGGACGACCAGCCACACCGGAACUGAGACACGGUCCGGACUCCUACGGGAGGCAGCAGUGGGGAAUAUUGGACAAGUGGGGGCAACCCUGAUCCAGCGACGCCGCGUGGGUGAAGAAGGCCUGCGGGUU